AACGAACGCUGGCGGCAUGCCUAACACAUGCAAGUCGAACGAGACCUUCGGGUCUAGUGGCGCACGGGUGCGUAACGCGUGGGAACCUGCCCUUAGGUUCGGAAUACUCCCCGAAAGGGGUGCUAAUACCGGAUAAUGUCUUCGGACCAAAGAUUUAUCGCCUUUGGAUGGGCCCGCGUUGGAUUAGCUAGUUGGUAGGGUAAAAGCCUACCAAGGCGACGAUCCAUAGCUGGUCUGAGAGGAUGAUCAGCCACACUGGGACUGAGACACGGCCCAGACUCCUACGGGAGGCAGCAGUGGGGAAUAUUGGACAAUGGGCGAAAGGCUGAUCCAGCAAUGCCGCGUGAGUGAUGAAGGCCUUAGGGUUGUAAAGCUCUUUUACCCGGGAUGAUAAUGACAGUACCGGGAGAAUAAGCUCCGGCUAACUCCGUG
This 432-nucleotide ribosomal RNA is filed under the name uncultured bacterium. RNAcentral describes it as "partial 16S ribosomal RNA". It matches the Rfam family "Bacterial small subunit ribosomal RNA", at positions 29 to 507 of the family's 1533-position model. The record is from RNAcentral.